RNAcentral lists this ribosomal RNA (752 nucleotides) under uncultured Ralstonia sp. RNAcentral describes it as "bacterial SSU rRNA". It matches the Rfam family "Bacterial small subunit ribosomal RNA", at positions 8 to 749 of the family's 1533-position model. Lineage: Bacteria; Pseudomonadati; Pseudomonadota; Betaproteobacteria; Burkholderiales; Burkholderiaceae. The record is from RNAcentral.
AGAGUUUGAUCAUGGCUCAGAUUGAACGCUGGCGGCAUGCCUUACACAUGCAAGUCGAACGGCAGCAUGAUCUAGCUUGCUAGAUUGAUGGCGAGUGGCGAACGGGUGAGUAAUACAUCGGAACGUGCCCUGUAGUGGGGGAUAACUAGUCGAAAGAUUAGCUAAUACCGCAUACGACCUGAGGGUGAAAGUGGGGGACCGCAAGGCCUCAUGCUAUAGGAGCGGCCGAUGUCUGAUUAGCUAGUUGGUGGGGUAAAGGCCCACCAAGGCGACGAUCAGUAGCUGGUCUGAGAGGACGAUCAGCCACACUGGGACUGAGACACGGCCCAGACUCCUACGGGAGGCAGCAGUGGGGAAUUUUGGACAAUGGGCGAAAGCCUGAUCCAGCAAUGCCGCGUGUGUGAAGAAGGCCUUCGGGUUGUAAAGCACUUUUGUCCGGAAAGAAAUGGCUCUGGUUAAUACCUGGGGUCGAUGACGGUACCGGAAGAAUAAGGACCGGCUAACUACGUGCCAGCAGCCGCGGUAAUACGUAGGGUCCAAGCGUUAAUCGGAAUUACUGGGCGUAAAGCGUGCGCAGGCGGUUGUGCAAGACCGAUGUGAAAUCCCCGAGCUUAACUUGGGAAUUGCAUUGGUGACUGCACGGCUAGAGUGUGUCAGAGGGGGGUAGAAUUCCACGUGUAGCAGUGAAAUGCGUAGAGAUGUGGAGGAAUACCGAUGGCGAAGGCAGCCCCCUGGACAAAGACUGACGCUCA